Eriocheir sinensis (Chinese mitten crab) is the source of this 388-nucleotide long non-coding RNA. RefSeq lists it as uncharacterized. The transcript is spliced from 2 exons. NCBI's taxonomy places the organism in Eukaryota, Metazoa, Arthropoda, Malacostraca, Decapoda, Varunidae. The record is from RefSeq and is a predicted model, not a curated record.
ACCCCUGCUCUCAUCCAUGAUUGCUGCUGGGAGCUAGAACAGAUCUUGAGCACUAUCACAAGCUGUGUCCUGGGAGCUGUCACUUGUCCAUCACAAUAUAGCACCUGGAAGAAAUGAAGAAUGUAAGAAAACGGGUGGAGUGAUUUGUGGAACUUCCUCCAAGAGGCGAGUGGCCAUGGCAGAAGCACCUCCAACUUUCCCUGUUCCAGCCCACCAGCACAUUCAAUCCCUUGGCUGCCAACCGGCUCAUACUUUUCCAUCCUAUUGGUCUACAGUAAACCCUCAGUUAUCCGGGUGCACCGUAUCCAACCUUGCCCGUAUCUGGGAGUUUUAAAAAUAUUUGAUUUUUUUCCAAAAAAUUAAAAUAAAUUGUCGCGCGCUGCCAAAA